UACGGAGGAUCCAAGCGUUAUCCGGAUUUAUUGGGUUUAAAGGGUGCGUAGGCGGCCUAUUAAGUCAGGGGUGAAAGACGGUAGCUUAACUAUCGCAGUGCCUUUGAUACUGAUAGGCUUGAAUGUACUUGAGGUAGGCGGAAUGUGACAAGUAGCGGUGAAAUGCAUAGAUAUGUCACAGAACACCAAUUGCGAAGGCAGCUUACUAAAGUAUGAUUGACGCUGAGGCACGAAAGCGUGGGGAUCAAACAGGA
This 254-nucleotide ribosomal RNA is filed under the name uncultured bacterium. RNAcentral describes it as "partial 16S ribosomal RNA". It matches the Rfam family "Bacterial small subunit ribosomal RNA", at positions 524 to 777 of the family's 1533-position model. The record is from RNAcentral.